This 456-nucleotide ribosomal RNA is filed under the name uncultured bacterium. RNAcentral's name for it is "bacterial SSU rRNA". It matches the Rfam family "Bacterial small subunit ribosomal RNA", at positions 340 to 786 of the family's 1533-position model. The record is from RNAcentral.
UACGGAAGGCAGCAGUGGGGAAUAUUGCACAAUGGGCGCAAGCCUGAUGCAGCCAUGCCGCGUGUAUGAAGAAGGCCUUCGGGUUGUAAAGUACUUUCAGCGGGGAGGAAGGCGGUGGAGUUAAUAGCUUCACCGAUUGACGUUACCCGCAGAAGAAGCACCGGCUAACUCCGUGCCAGCAGCCGCGGUAAUACGGAGGGUGCAAGCGUUAAUCGGAAUUACUGGGCGUAAAGCGCACGCAGGCGGUCUGUCAAGUCGGAUGUGAAAUCCCCGGGCUUAACCUGGGAACUGCAUUCGAAACUGGCAGGCUAGAGUCUUGUAGAGGGGGUAGAAAUUCCAGGUGUAGCGGUGAAAUGCGUAGAGAUCUGGAGGAAUACCGGUGGCGAAGGCGGCCCCUGGGACAAAGACUGACGCUCAGGUGCGAAAGCGUGGGGAGCGAAACAGGAUUAGGAUACC